Podarcis lilfordi (Lilford's wall lizard) is the source of this 71-nucleotide non-coding RNA. Lineage: Eukaryota; Metazoa; Chordata; Lepidosauria; Squamata; Lacertidae. The record is from the annotation of a GenBank genome assembly.
GGGCCGUAGCUCAGUAGUAGAGAGUCUGCUUUGCAUGCAAAAAGUCCCAGGUUCAAUCCCCAGUGGCACCU